Molecule: unclassified non-coding RNA, 240 nt
Filed under: soil metagenome
Description: partial contains 5.8S ribosomal RNA, internal transcribed spacer 2, and large subunit ribosomal RNA
Source: RNAcentral
AACACUGUUAACCUGCGGUACCUGCGGAGGGAUCAUUAGUGAAAUAUACAAUUGGGAAAGUGCUAACUUUGCAAAAAGGACGCCUUUCUUUCAAUCAAUAUACACUUUUCACACACACUGUGCACUUGUUUCAUUUUACUUUAACCAAACUUGUUUCGGUUAAUUUAAAAACACACUGGUGAUAAAAUUGUUUAAAAGUCCAAGUUGAUAAAUUUGAUAAAACGAAAGUAAAACUUUUAA